AGUGAACGCUGGCGGUAGGCCUAACACAUGCAAGUCGAACGGCAGCACAGUAAGAGCUUGCUCUUACGGGUGGCGAGUGGCGGACGGGUGAGGAAUACAUCGGAAUCUACUUUUUCGUGGGGGAUAACGUAGGGAACCUACCCCUAAACCCCCCUCCACCCUAGGGGGGAAACAAGGGGAUCUUCGAACCUUCGGGGAUUUAAGGGCCCGAUGUCGGAUUAGCUAGUUGGCGGGGUAAGGGCCCACCAAGGCGACGAUCCGUAGCUGGUCUGAGAGGAUGAUCAGCCACACUGGAACUGAGACACGGUCCAGACUCCUACGGGAGGCAGCAGUGGGGAAUAUUGGACAAUGGGCGCAAGCCUGAUCCAGCCAUACCGCGUGGGUGAAGAAGGCCUUCGGGUUGUAAAGCCCUUUUGUUGGGAAAGAAAAGCAGCAGGUUAAUACCCCGCUGUUCUGACGGUACCCAAAGAAUAAGCACCGGCUAACUUCGUG
RNAcentral lists this ribosomal RNA (492 nucleotides) under uncultured bacterium. RNAcentral describes it as "partial 16S ribosomal RNA". It matches the Rfam family "Bacterial small subunit ribosomal RNA", at positions 29 to 507 of the family's 1533-position model. The record is from RNAcentral.